This 433-nucleotide ribosomal RNA is filed under the name uncultured bacterium. RNAcentral's name for it is "partial 16S ribosomal RNA". It matches the Rfam family "Bacterial small subunit ribosomal RNA", at positions 29 to 507 of the family's 1533-position model. The record is from RNAcentral.
AACGAACGCUGGCGGCAUGCCUAACACAUGCAAGUCGAACGAGACCUUCGGGUCUAGUGGUGCAUGGGUGCGUAACGCGUGGGAACCUGCCCUUAGGUUCGGAAUAACUCCCCGAAAGGGGUGCUAAUACCGGAUAAUGUCUUCGGACCAAUGAUUUAUCGCCUUUGGAUGGGCCCGCGUUGGAUUAGCUAGUUGGUAGGGUAAAAGCCUACCAAGGCGACGAUCCAUAGCUGGUCUGAGAGGAUGAACAGCCACACUGGGACUGAGACACGGCCCAGACUCCUACGGGAGGCAGCAGUGGGGAAUAUUGGACAAUGGGCGAAAGCCUGAUCCAGCAAUGCCGCGUGAGUGAUGAAGGCCUUAGGGUUGUAAAGCUCUUUUACCAGGGAUGAUAAUGACAGUACCGGGAGAAUAAGCUCCGGCUAACUCCGUG